Molecule: transfer RNA, 73 nt
Filed under: Candidatus Parcubacteria bacterium
Lineage: Bacteria; Candidatus Parcubacteria
Description: tRNA-Lys
Rfam family: tRNA
About the family: Transfer RNA (tRNA) molecules are approximately 80 nucleotides in length. Their secondary structure includes four short double-helical elements and three loops (D, anti-codon, and T loops). Further hydrogen bonds mediate the characteristic L-shaped molecular structure. tRNAs have two regions of fundamental functional importance: the anti-codon, which is responsible for specific mRNA codon recognition, and the 3' end, to which the tRNAs corresponding amino acid is attached (by aminoacyl-tRNA synthetases). tRNAs cope with the degeneracy of the genetic code in two manners: having more than one tRNA (with a specific anti-codon) for a particular amino acid; and 'wobble' base-pairing, i.e. permitting non-standard base-pairing at the 3rd anti-codon position.
Source: RNAcentral
GCCCCCGUAGCUCAAUUGGCAGAGCUGCGCACUCUUAAUGCGCGGGUUGCAGGUUCAAAUCCUGCCGGGGGCA